CCUACGUGCGGCAGCAGUGAGGAAUAUUGGUCAAUGGGCUUACGCCUGAACCAGCCAAGUCGCGUGAGGGAAGACUGCCCUAUGGGUUGUAAACCUCUUUUGUCAGGGAGCAACGCCGGCUACGUGUAGCCGGACUGAGAGUACCUGAAGAAAAAGCAUCGGCUAACUCCGUGCCAGCAGCCGCGGUAAUCCGGAGGAUGCGAGCGUUAUCCGGUUUUAUUGGGUUUAAAGGGUGCGUAGGCGGAAUGCCAAGUCAGCGGUAAAAUCGCGGGGCUCAACCUCGCUCCGCCGUUGACACUGGCGUUCUUGAGUGGGCGGGAAGUAUGCGGAAUGCGUGGUGUAGCGGUGAAAUGCAUAGAUAUCACGCAGAACUCCGAUUGCGAAGGCAGCAUACCGGCGCCCAACUGACGCUGAAGCACGAAAGCGUGGGUAUCGAACAGGAUUAGAUACCCGAGUAGUC
This 460-nucleotide ribosomal RNA is filed under the name uncultured bacterium. Its description in RNAcentral is "partial 16S ribosomal RNA". It matches the Rfam family "Bacterial small subunit ribosomal RNA", at positions 338 to 795 of the family's 1533-position model. The record is from RNAcentral.